GAUGAACGCUAGCGGGAGGCUUAAUACAUGCAAGUCGAGCGGUAACUGACCGAUAGCAAUAUUGGUUAGCUAGAGCGGCGCACGGGUGAGUAACGCGUACAUAACCUACCCUAUACUGGGGGAUAGCCUUGGGAAACUGAGAUUAAUACCCCAUGGUAUUAUUUGGCCACCUGGUUGAAUAAUUAAAGUUGCGGCGGUAUAGGGUGGGUGUGCGUCUGAUUAGCUAGUUGGUAGGGUAACGGCCUACCAAGGCGAUGAUCAGUAGGGGGCGUGAGAGCAUGACCCUGCUCACUGGGACUGAGACACUGCCCAGACACCUACGGGUGGCUGCAGUCGAGGAUCUUCGGCAAUGGGCGAAAGCCUGACCGAGCGACGCCGCGUGCGGGAUGAAGGC
Molecule: ribosomal RNA, 394 nt
Filed under: uncultured bacterium
Lineage: Bacteria
Description: bacterial SSU rRNA
Rfam family: Bacterial small subunit ribosomal RNA
Source: RNAcentral